GCCGGGAUGGUGGAAUCGGCAGACACGGGGGCCUCAAAAGCCCUUGUCCGAAAGGGCGUGCGGGUUCAAGUCCCGCUCCCGGCA
RNAcentral lists this transfer RNA (84 nucleotides) under Frankiales bacterium. It matches the Rfam family "tRNA". Rfam says of the family: Transfer RNA (tRNA) molecules are approximately 80 nucleotides in length. The record is from Rfam by way of RNAcentral. Lineage: Bacteria; Bacillati; Actinomycetota; Actinomycetes; Frankiales.